RNAcentral lists this ribosomal RNA (458 nucleotides) under Vibrio cholerae. Its description in RNAcentral is "bacterial SSU rRNA". It matches the Rfam family "Bacterial small subunit ribosomal RNA", at positions 567 to 1024 of the family's 1533-position model. Lineage: Bacteria; Pseudomonadati; Pseudomonadota; Gammaproteobacteria; Vibrionales; Vibrionaceae. The record is from RNAcentral.
GCAUGCAGGUGGUUUGUUAAGUCAGAUGUGAAAGCCCUGGGCUCAACCUAGGAAUCGCAUUUGAAACUGACAAGCUAGAGUACUGUAGAGGGGGGUAGAAUUUCAGGUGUAGCGGUGAAAUGCGUAGAGAUUUGAAGGAAUACCGGUGGCGAAGGCGGCCCCCUGGACAGAUACUGACACUCAGAUGCGAAAGCGUGGGGAGCAAACAGGAUUAGAUACCCUGGUAGUCCACGCUGUAAACGAUGUCUACUUGGAGGUUGUGCCCUAGAGGCGUGGCUUUCGGAGCUAACGCGUUAAGUAGACCGCCUGGGGAGUACGGUCGCAAGAUUAAAACUCAAAUGAAUUGACGGGGGCCCGCACAAGCGGUGGAGCAUGUGGUUUAAUUCGAUGCAACGCGAAGAACCUUACCUACUCUUGACAUCCAGAGAAUCUAGCGGAGACGCUGGAGUGCCUUCGGG